AUGAAAUACGUGAAAAAAAAGGAGAGAGAAAACUUGGAUAGGUUGAAAAGGAAAAUAUUGGACGAAGCAUAUUUCUGUAGCGAGAGAGGGAGCGCGCGCGAAAAGAGAGAGAAAGUGCUGGUCUGUUUUGAUUGGCUGGAGAGUUGCGUUGAGGAAAAAAAGCACACAUAUUUGAAGGUAUAUCUUUUGUAUAUUAGUAGUACUAGUUUUCCAAGUCACUUCUACAGUGCCCUGACACAAACUGGUGCCAGUACACUCUUGUUGUUGCGUCACUCCUCAUUUUUCUUGCGACUUGAGUUCUUAUUGGUACCGCGCGUGAAUUUCACUUGUGCCUAA
This 336-nucleotide ribosomal RNA is filed under the name Triticum aestivum (bread wheat). RNAcentral's name for it is "partial small subunit ribosomal RNA". Lineage: Eukaryota; Viridiplantae; Streptophyta; Magnoliopsida; Poales; Poaceae. The record is from RNAcentral.